Molecule: ribosomal RNA, 1343 nt
Filed under: uncultured bacterium
Lineage: Bacteria
Description: 16S ribosomal RNA
Rfam family: Bacterial small subunit ribosomal RNA
Source: RNAcentral
GACGAACGCUGGCGGCGUGCUUAACACAUGCAAGUCGAACGGAAAGGCCCUGCUUUUGUGGGGUGCUCGAGUGGCGAACGGGUGAGUAACACGUGAAUAACCUGCCCUUGACUUUGGGAUAACUUCAGGAAACUGGGGCUAAUACCGGAUAGGAGCUCCUGCUGCAUGGUGGGGGUUGGAAAGUUUCGGCGGUUGGGGAUGGACUCGCGGCUUAUCAGCUUGUUGGUGGGGUAGUGGCUUACCAAGGCUUUGACGGGUAGCCGGCCUGAGAGGGUGACCGGCCACAUUGGGACUGAGAUACGGCCCAGACUCCUACGGGAGGCAGCAGUGGGGAAUAUUGCACAAUGGGCGGAAGCCUGAUGCAGCAACGCCGCGUGCGGGAUGACGGCCUUCGGGUUGUAAACCGCUUCCGCCUGUGACGAAGCGUGAGUGACGGUAAUGGGUAAAGAAGCACCGGCUAACUACGUGCCAGCAGCCGCGGUGAUACGUAGGGUGCGAGCGUUGUCCGGAUUUAUUGGGCGUAAAGGGCUCGUAGGUGGUUGAUCGCGUCGGAAGUGUAAUCUUGGGGCUUAACCCUGAGCGUGCUUUCGAUACGGGUUGACUUGAGGAAGGUAGGGGAGAAUGGAAUUCCUGGUGGAGCGGUGGAAUGCGCAGAUAUCAGGAGGAACACCAGUGGCGAAGGCGGUUCUCUGGGCCUUUCCUGACGCUGAGGAGCGAAAGCGUGGGGAGCGAACAGGCUUAGAUACCCUGGUAGUCCACGCUGUAAACGGUGGGUACUAGGUGUGGGGUCCAUUCCACGGGUUCCGUGCCGUAGCUAACGCUUUAAGUACCCCGCCUGGGGAGUACGGCCGCAAGGCUAAAACUCAAAGGAAUUGACGGGGCCCCGCACAAGCGGCGGAGCAUGCGGAUUAAUUCGAUGCAACGCGUAGAACCUUACCUGGGUUUGACAUGGAUCGGGAGUGCUCAGAGAUGGGUGUGCCUCUUUUGGGGUCGGUUCACAGGUGGUGCAUGCCUGUCGUCAGCUCGUGUCGUGAGAUGUUGGGUUAAGUCCCGCAACGAGCGCAACCCUUGUUCACUGUUGCCUGCACGUUAUGGUGGGGACUCAGUGGAGACCGCCGGGGUCAACUCGGAGGAAGGUGGGGAUGACGUCAAGUCAUCAUGCCCCUUAUGUCCAGGGCUUCACGCAUGCUACAAUGGCUGGUACAGAGAGUGGCGAGCCUGUGAGGGUGAGCGAAUCUCGGAAAGCCGGUCUCAGUUCGGAUUGGGGUCUGCAACUCGACCUCAUGAAGUCGGAGUCGCUAGUAAUCGCAGAUCAGCAACGCUGCGGUGAAUACGUUCCCGGG